GAACAUUUAGAAGGGUAUCCCUGGCAACCUUCUUCAGGGACAACGAACAUGAAGAGGAAUAGCCCAAGCACUCACCCUCAAAGACAGGGAACAUGAAGAGGAGUAACCCCAGCAACUCUCUUCAGAGAAAAGCAACAUGAACAGGAGCAGCCCCGGCGAUCAUCUUCAGGGACAGGGAACAUGAAGAGGAGUGACCUGGCAACCCCCUUCAGGGACAAGACAUGUGAAGAGAAGCGGCCCCUGCAACCUUACUCCUCAGGAGCAGGGAUGAUAUAAAGGUAUUGCCUAAACUUGGUUCCUACCUGCCAUGUCUGACAUUUUCAAACGUCGGACUCACCGGAGCAUCAGGACACGGACUUUCUCCAGAGGGGACAAUGAGAAAACUCUUGGAAGAAUGACCGUCGGACAUAAUGUACUUUUAGUGAAGGGUGGCAAAUCCUGGAACAAACUGACACUGACAAUGAAGGAGUGUCAUUUCUCACUUUCAAAAGUCAACCAGUGGCUGAAAGCAAACAGUCCCAGGAUCAUUUUGUGUCGGAUCUGUUUGACAAUUUGUUACCAGCAAAGGAACUAAGUACUGAAUAAGCAGUAAACAAUACUUUGCUGGAUGCCAACUUGUUAUAAUAGACUAUUUAAUCUCAAUUAGAGUCAAAAACCUUUUGUGAAUAAACAAAGUUUAUUUGUGCUGACAGGUUUAUGGUUGUGGCCUCUGGCCUUAAAAUUAGUUAACCGCAAUCAACAAGAAGGUAUGACAUUUUAUACUCAUUACCUUACAAAAUGAAAACAGAAGGGGGUUACCGUCUUCAAACCACAUCUCUUGGAAAUCACCACAGGCAUCUCAGUUGAAAAAUAAAGCAAGCCUUAGAAUAGUGAACUCCAGGGGAAGAGGGUGACUUAUUACUGCUUUCUGCUCAGUUACAGAUCCAUAGUUUAUGAGCACCAGCAGCGAAAUGGAAAUAAGCAGCCGUGAGUCACCGAGAUUCUUGGCUCUCUUUGUGAUCAUUGCAGUUUGCACAUCACCUACUGCAUGUGUGGUGCCACGACAGCUUUGGGAAAAGACGUCGCCACAAAUCUCUCGACAACGACGGCAGCGCUAAUUUCACACACGCUUUUGACAUCUACAACACUGGAAAAAAGGAGGAAUAUUGUCAGAGCAGACACCAAAGUUUGAUGUUUUCAUGAAUACAUUAUUAAAUACAAAGGAACAAAAGAUAACACUGCAGUGGUGACUAGGUUUCCAGAUAGUUUUAUUUUUUUUUUCUUGUAGAUGUAGAAGUAUAUUUAUGAUUUGUAUUCAGUUUUGUUGCAGAAAAUGUCUGAUGCAUGUGUUUGAGUACAUAUUGCUCUACAAUGUACUGCUGUGUAAAAUAUAUUCUUCUCGGCAGCAGUAAAAACUUGAAUCAUUUUCUUUUACCUUCAUUCUGUUAGAAACCUUCACUGUGAGUCCUAACCAAGAUGGACAGAAGUGAAUAUAAACACAUGCAACACAUUUAUAAAACUAUUCAGACAUUCAAGCUAGAAACCACAUACCAGAAAAAUAGCUGAAAAAAGUUAUAAAAAGCAGGGAUUUCUAGUGGAAUUUGUGCCACCACUUAUCGCUUUGGGUUUAAGGUGGCCUAGAAAGAUUAUUUUUUGUUAUUUUGCAGAACUUUUUUUUAACUGUUGCACAAUAACAAACAGCAGUUUUAGCCAGUUUUGUGUAGGUGAAUGGAAGAAAAAAAAAAGCAGGAAAAUGCAAAAAAAAAAAAAAAUCUUGA
Molecule: non-coding RNA, 1757 nt
Organism: Oryzias latipes (Japanese medaka)
Lineage: Eukaryota; Metazoa; Chordata; Actinopteri; Beloniformes; Adrianichthyidae
Source: RefSeq, a predicted model, not a curated record